UUUGAACAGCAGGUUUAAGCUGUUCUGCUUGGAAAAAAUGACUAUGUAAAAAUGGCAAACUUUUAUUCAAGAAGUACAUCUUCACACAACGCACAGUCAAAUUAUAGCUGGAUUCAAACAAGAAUUAGGAGCUUAUCAGUGUACUGGGAGUCAAGAGACUUGGGGUUUCUGGUUCUGAGUCAGCUUCUUGCCCUCAGGGUGAAUCUGGCUUGCCAGGCUGGAAGACCACAAAUGACCUUGCAGAUACUGCUGGAUUUGCUGACAUCCUAACAUUCAUUGGAAAUGCCAGCAGUGGAAGAUUUGACUGUUCAAGAGACAAAAUGUGAUUAUGACCCAAAGAAUGAUCCUAUCCUGUGCCCCACAGUUCAGGAAUGUGUCUGUGCGGCUGAUGGCAGAACUUAUAGAAACUACUGUUACUUUGGCAGAGCCAGGAGGAUGGAAAUAUCUUUGCACUGGGAAUGAGCAAACCUAACUGAAUAAAAUGAGACAGAGCAGGGCAACAUGUGGAAAACUUGGCUUAAAACACCCUGGACCAUGUCAUGAGAAAAAGAAGGCAUAAAAAUGGAUUUCUUGUUUUGAAUUUCCAUAAGAAAGUCCCUAUGUAGAAGCACAUUCUCUAUUUGUUCUUCUAUAUAGCUCUUGCAGUUUGCAUCACUAUCUCUGUUUCUUUGUUCAGUAAAGUAAAUUCUGUAAAGUUCUUUAUUUUUCUUUUUUCUUUAAAGGGGGAUUUGUGGCCUUCCAUGAAACCCUUCCUGUUUGCUAUGAAGCAGCAUUAGAUUGAGGCUAGAUUCCCACUAUAAGCUUGAUUUUUACUGUCCCUUCUCAAAACAGGAAUCUGAUCUCGAAAUAUUGCAUGUAGAGCACAUCCUAGGGUAUCAUUUUCCUUGUAAUUUUGGUUAAAAUA
This is a long non-coding RNA of Gopherus evgoodei (Goodes thornscrub tortoise), 904 nucleotides long. RefSeq lists it as uncharacterized. The record is from RefSeq and is a predicted model, not a curated record. The transcript has 6 exons. Lineage: Eukaryota; Metazoa; Chordata; Testudines; Testudinidae.